CUUCAUCCACACGAAUGUACUUGUACGCGUGCUCUAAAAGUUCAGCAUAGGUCUGAGAGAGAGUCUUGUCUAGAGAGUAGGUGAAUCUAGAUCCUCUCAGACCCCUCUUCAUAGCCGAUAUGGCCAUGUCUUCAUUAAGAUCCCUGACCUCAAGUGUGGCCACAUUAAAAUGAGCCACAAAAUCUCUCAACGUCUCUGUCUCACCCUGCUU
This 211-nucleotide long non-coding RNA is filed under the name Elaeis guineensis (African oil palm). RNAcentral's name for it is "long non-coding RNA (EGUI_LNC019346)". Lineage: Eukaryota; Viridiplantae; Streptophyta; Magnoliopsida; Arecales; Arecaceae. The record is from RNAcentral.